CCUACGGGAUGCAGCAGUGGGGAAUAUUGGGCAAUGGAGGAAACUCUGACGCAGCCACGCCGCGUGAAUGAUGAAGGUCUUCGGAUUGUAAAGUUCUUUCCUAAGGGACGAAGGAAGUGACGGUACCUUAGGAAUAAGCCUCGGCUAACUACGUGCCAGCAGCCGCGGUAAUACGUAGGAGGCGAGCGUUAUACGGAAUGACUGUGCGUGAAGGGUGCGUAGGCGGUUUGGCAAGUGAGUAGAGUAACUCCAAGGCUUAACCUUGGAACUACUACUAAUACUGUUGGACUUGAGUGCAGGAGGGGCGACCAGAAUUCCUAGUGUAGCGGUGGAAUGCGUAGAGAUGAGGAGGAACACCAGAGGCGAAGGCGGGUUGUUAGACUUGAAUUGACACUGAGGUACGAAAGCGUGGGGAGCAAACAGGAUUAGAUACCCCAGUAGUC
This 443-nucleotide ribosomal RNA is filed under the name uncultured bacterium. Its description in RNAcentral is "partial 16S ribosomal RNA". It matches the Rfam family "Bacterial small subunit ribosomal RNA", at positions 338 to 795 of the family's 1533-position model. The record is from RNAcentral.